Molecule: ribosomal RNA, 578 nt
Filed under: Trigonopterus sp. 70 MB-2011
Lineage: Eukaryota; Metazoa; Arthropoda; Insecta; Coleoptera; Curculionidae
Description: SSU rRNA
Rfam family: Eukaryotic small subunit ribosomal RNA
Source: RNAcentral
GUCAUAUGCUUGUCUCAAAGAUUAAGCCAUGCAUGUCUCAGUACAAGCCAAAUUAAGGUGAAACCGCGAAAGGCUCAUUAAAUCAGUUAUGGUUCCUUAGAUCGUACCCACAAUUACUAGGAUAACUGUGGUAAUUCUAGAGCUAAUACAUGCAAACAGAGCUCCGACCGGAGACGGAAGGAGUGCUUUUAUUAGAUCAAAACCAAUCGGUGGCGGGUUCGCCCGUUAUCGUACAACUUGGUGACUCUGAAUAACUUUACGCUGAUCGCACGGUCAUCGCACCGGCGACGCAUCUUUCAAAUGUCUGCCUUAUCAACUGUCGAUGGUAGGUUCUGCGCCUACCAUGGUUGUAACGGGUAACGGGGAAUCAGGGUUCGAUUCCGGAGAGGGAGCCUGAGAAACGGCUACCACAUCCAAGGAAGGCAGCAGGCGCGCAAAUUACCCACUCCCGGCACGGGGAGGUAGUGACGAAAAAUAACGAUACGGGACUCAUCCGAGGCCCCGUAAUCGGAAUGAGUACACUCUAAACCCUUUAACGAGGAUCAAUUGGAGGGCAAGUCUGGUGCCAGCAGCCGCGG